This 770-nucleotide ribosomal RNA is filed under the name Vibrio sp. ACH-05. RNAcentral's name for it is "bacterial SSU rRNA". It matches the Rfam family "Bacterial small subunit ribosomal RNA", at positions 38 to 787 of the family's 1533-position model. The record is from RNAcentral. Lineage: Bacteria; Pseudomonadati; Pseudomonadota; Gammaproteobacteria; Vibrionales; Vibrionaceae.
GGCGGCGGGCCUAACACAUGCAAGUCGAGCGGAAACGACACUAACAAUCCUUCGGGUGCGUUAAUGGGCGUCGAGCGGCGGACGGGUGAGUAAUGCCUAGGAAAUUGCCUUGAUGUGGGGGAUAACCAUUGGAAACGAUGGCUAAUACCGCAUGAUGCCUACGGGCCAAAGAGGGGGACCUUCGGGCCUCUCGCGUCAAGAUAUGCCUAGGUGGGAUUAGCUAGUUGGUGAGGUAAUGGCUCACCAAGGCGACGAUCCCUAGCUGGUCUGAGAGGAUGAUCAGCCACACUGGAACUGAGACACGGUCCAGACUCCUACGGGAGGCAGCAGUGGGGAAUAUUGCACAAUGGGCGAAAGCCUGAUGCAGCCAUGCCGCGUGUAUGAAGAAGGCCUUCGGGUUGUAAAGUACUUUCAGUUGUGAGGAAGGGUGUGUAGUUAAUAGCUGCGCAUCUUGACGUUAGCAACAGAAGAAGCACCGGCUAACUCCGUGCCAGCAGCCGCGGUAAUACGGAGGGUGCGAGCGUUAAUCGGAAUUACUGGGCGUAAAGCGCAUGCAGGUGGUUCAUUAAGUCAGAUGUGAAAGCCCGGGGCUCAACCUCGGAACUGCAUUUGAAACUGGUGAACUAGAGUACUGUAGAGGGGGGUAGAAUUUCAGGUGUAGCGGUGAAAUGCGUAGAGAUCUGAAGGAAUACCAGUGGCGAAGGCGGCCCCCUGGACAGAUACUGACACUCAGAUGCGAAAGCGUGGGGAGCAAACAGGAUUAGAUACCC